RNAcentral lists this ribosomal RNA (479 nucleotides) under uncultured bacterium. Its description in RNAcentral is "partial 16S ribosomal RNA". It matches the Rfam family "Bacterial small subunit ribosomal RNA", at positions 30 to 507 of the family's 1533-position model. The record is from RNAcentral.
UGAACGCUGGCGGCGUGCUUAACACAUGCAAAUCGAACGAAGCACUUUAUUUGAUUUCCUUCGGGACUGAUUAUUUUGUGACUGAGUGGCGGACGGGUGAGUAACGCGUGGGUAACCUGCCUUGUACAGGGGGAUAACAGUUGGAGACGGCUGCUAAUACCGCAUAAGCGCACGGCAUCGCAUGAUGCAGUGUGAAAAACUCCGGUGGUAUAAGAUGGACCCGCGUUGGAUUAGCUAGUUGGUGAGGUAACGGCCCACCAAGGCGACGAUCCAUAGCCGACCUGAGAGGGUGACCGGCCACAUUGGGACUGAGACACGGCCCAAACUCCUACGGGAGGCAGCAGUGGGGAAUAUUGCACAAUGGGCGAAAGCCUGAUGCAGCGACGCCGCGUGAGCGAAGAAGUAUUUCGGUAUGUAAAGCUCUAUCAGCAGGGAAGAUAAUGACGGUACCUGACUAAGAAGCACCGGCUAAAUACGUG